Non-coding RNA from Cordylochernes scorpioides, 76 nucleotides. NCBI's taxonomy places the organism in Eukaryota, Metazoa, Arthropoda, Arachnida, Pseudoscorpiones, Chernetidae. The record is from the annotation of a GenBank genome assembly.
AGGCACUGGCGAGAUUCGAACUCAGAAUCUCUUGUUUAUUAGACAGGCGCUUUAUCCAUCUAAGCCACACGGCGUC